RNAcentral lists this ribosomal RNA (447 nucleotides) under Triticum aestivum (bread wheat). RNAcentral's name for it is "partial small subunit ribosomal RNA". The record is from RNAcentral. Lineage: Eukaryota; Viridiplantae; Streptophyta; Magnoliopsida; Poales; Poaceae.
AUGGUGAACACGCCGGUUUUGGCUCUGCCGGAUUUCAGUCGCCCUUUUUCCAUCGAGACGGACGCCUGUGACACCGGUGUGGGCGCUGUCCUGGUACAGGACGGACACCUGGUUGCAUACCUUAGCAAGGCUUUGGGAGUAAAGAAUCAAUGGCUAUCGAUUUACGAGAAGGAAUUCCUCAUGGUGAUGAUGGCGGUGGACAAGUGGCGUGCUUAUCUUCAGAGAGCUCCGUUCGUAAUUGUCACUGACCACAAGUGUUUGUCUCACCUCGGUGACCAACAGCUCGAGACGGAGCUCCAACACAAAGCUAUGUCGAAGAUGGUGGGACUGCAAUUUUCUUUCAAGUACCGGCGUGGAACCGACAAUGGCGCAGCAGACGUCUUGUCCCGCGUCGGGCAUUUGCUCCCUGUCAGUGUGCCAACCACAGUGGCUACAGGAGGUUGCUAA